GUCAUCUAAAAAUGACUAGUGUUCCUAAACAUGAUGUGAUUUCACAAGCUUAAACAUGUCUGACGUUCUUUUCUAACCUUUGCUGGAUGCUUCAACAGUGUUUGGCUGUCAAUAAUUUACCCUGGCUGAUUGAGUUUAUACUUGCCUGCUUUGUGAAUAAAAGUGUUUGGAUUACAAAGAAGAGAUUGAGUUAUCCUGCAGAGAGAUGGUGCAAUAAGCAGAUUUUUCUCUUCUUUCAUCCACAGCAUUAUUUCAGCUGGGAGCUGUAGUAUGUGACUAAUUAGCCAAUGGAAGUCCACUCUCUGGACUUUCUGGUGGUAUAUUUACACUGAAUUCUGGCCUGAUAAUAAAGGUGUCACCCAGUGUAACAAUGUGACACACCCAGAGUGAAGAAGAAAAGUCUAAGAUAACACAGAGCCUCUGUCAGCCCUCAAACUUAUUUUUCACAAGCUUCAGCAAUAUUCCAAACAACAAAAGAAAUAUGACUGAACAGACACAAAUUUUGAGGACAUAUUUUUUCCCCAGUAUUUUUUUAACAGGUACUACUGAUGUCCCAGUGCUUUUGAGGGUCUUGUUUGUCCUCCUGGAUGCUUUAGGAAGUUACCACUUUCAGCUCACCUAGAGCUGAUCUCAUUAAUAAAAGAAUGACUUUACAGAAAAGAGUUUCUAAAAUUAUACUCUCACUCAGAAUUGCAAGAGUUGGCUUUUCAGCCUGAAGAUAAAUUUCUUAAGCAUUAAGCUUACUUUAUCAAGUAUUACACCUGACAUUCUCUCAUAAAUUUUGCAUAUAUUUUAACUAAUUUUAAUAUUGUGUGGGCUUGGUUUAUAAUAUUCUCAUGCAGUUACUAAAGUUGAAUCUUCUCAGUCAUAUAUUAGUUGUAAGAAUGCUUAACCCCUUCCAAAAUAUCACUCACUUAAAAUCACAUCAGCUAAGUCUCCUCUUAUUUUUGCUUAUUUCUUGGUUAUUUACCAUGCAUUUUGUGUAUGUUGGAACCAGCCAUGCAGUCGUUGUAUUCCUUUUUUGAGAGGGCAAAUGUAUUUUGACAAGGUUGCUAUUGGAAACACUUUUUAAAUAUCUCAUGUGUCACAUCACAAUCAGCAUCAUAAUCUGAUCAGGUGGAUUAAUUUCAGAAGGCAGCAGAGGGCAUUGCUUACAGGGGUCACAGACAUUCAGAUCAUGGCAGAACUGUCACAGAUGUUACUUUGUGAAAACACAAAGAAUAAUGUGUUUGGAGAGAUCAGUCUUCAAUUAGCUAUAUUUUCUAGGAGCCUACCUUUACUUAGCCUCACAACAUGGGCCUUAGCUUUAGCACUUAAUCUGCACAAAUACCUGGCUUAAGUGUUAUGACUGACUGGCUAUUCAACCAAACCAUACAAAUGACCAAUUCGGUAAGAAAGCAUGAACUUCAGUGUUGAACCAAAUCAACCAACCUCCUCAAUCCAAAUGAACAAUGCUAUUCUAGGAGUCUGUGCUAGAAUAAAAUCCUAAUGCAAAGGCUGUCUUAAAAUGCUGAACCCAGAAGAAUUUGGCAUAAAUAAGACAUGGAGUUAGCUGACAUGAGAUAUUACAUUUAUUCCACUGUUGACGAGGACAAAACUGGGCCGCUAUUGUCACAGGAGAGGAUAACAAAGGAAGCUGAGGAAGUCUGUUCUGGAGGCACCAUGACAAAGCACCAGACAGAAAGCAGUCACGUGUGGGGAGAUGAGCAGAGACACCACUUCUCAAGCACCUGAUUAUUCUUUCUCAGUAUUUAGAAGCAAAAAUUAUCCUUAAGAAAAACAACCGCAAACGCAACACAGGCUACACAGAUGAGAAAAUGGGCUCAUGAAACACUGCACUAAACAGUCACAGGACCAAGAUAUAGAUUCCUAUUUCCAGGCUUGCAGAGCUCAAACCAUUACACCAUUCAGAAGCUGGCUUUGGUAUUACUUCAAGUUAUUCAAAACAGUCACCACUUGCUGAGCCUCUGAUGUCUCAUCUGUUGAAUGGGUUCCCCAUCUUCGUUGAAGGCCCCACAUCAUUUGCCAUGAACUUGCAGAAUAUUUCAAGAGAGAAGGCUGAAAAGGAAGGUGACUGGAAUAUUAAGAACUGUGAGAUAUUCUGAGGAAACUCUAAUUUGUAAAUUGGUAGAAAUGCCAGUAAUUUGUUGGGAAUUGAAGACCCUCUGUAUUCAAGAGCGAAGCUUGGCAGCUGUGCACUGUUGUUUUAUAAAUCAAUAUUACAUCUGAAGGUGGUGUUUGAAUGUUUGUGUCAUUGGGGUUUGUCUCCAACAUAGUCCUGUGACAAGAAAUGUUCAAACAAAACAAACACAAUCCCUUCCCUGUCCUUUAGGAUAAAGUCCAAACGUAAUUCCACAACAGGGAUAUAACAUUCAAAUCAACUACAGAACUUCUGUAAUUAUAUAAAACCCCACGACCACAGAAAUGCAAUUGAAUUGAAGACACUUUGCAAUAUUCCCCAAGAAAGGACUGUGUGGCUGUCAGAUUAACAAAAGUCAAGAGGUGGUGAGACAAUGCUCACCAUUGCAAAAAAGAGCUUUGUGCAUAAUGAACAGAAUUUGCAUGCCUGUUUAGGAAAUUAAGGUGAAGCCAAGGUGACUUAGGGUCACAUGAGGAGUCACAAC
This 2624-nucleotide long non-coding RNA is filed under the name Homo sapiens (human). Its description in RNAcentral is "HSALNT0302707". The record is from RNAcentral. Lineage: Eukaryota; Metazoa; Chordata; Mammalia; Primates; Hominidae.